Molecule: ribosomal RNA, 1539 nt
Filed under: Klebsiella variicola
Lineage: Bacteria; Pseudomonadati; Pseudomonadota; Gammaproteobacteria; Enterobacterales; Enterobacteriaceae
Description: bacterial SSU rRNA
Rfam family: Bacterial small subunit ribosomal RNA
Source: RNAcentral
AAAUUGAAGAGUUUGAUCAUGGCUCAGAUUGAACGCUGGCGGCAGGCCUAACACAUGCAAGUCGAGCGGUAGCACAGAGAGCUUGCUCUCGGGUGACGAGCGGCGGACGGGUGAGUAAUGUCUGGGAAACUGCCUGAUGGAGGGGGAUAACUACUGGAAACGGUAGCUAAUACCGCAUAACGUCGCAAGACCAAAGUGGGGGACCUUCGGGCCUCAUGCCAUCAGAUGUGCCCAGAUGGGAUUAGCUAGUAGGUGGGGUAACGGCUCACCUAGGCGACGAUCCCUAGCUGGUCUGAGAGGAUGACCAGCCACACUGGAACUGAGACACGGUCCAGACUCCUACGGGAGGCAGCAGUGGGGAAUAUUGCACAAUGGGCGCAAGCCUGAUGCAGCCAUGCCGCGUGUGUGAAGAAGGCCUUCGGGUUGUAAAGCACUUUCAGCGGGGAGGAAGGCGGUGAGGUUAAUAACCUCACCGAUUGACGUUACCCGCAGAAGAAGCACCGGCUAACUCCGUGCCAGCAGCCGCGGUAAUACGGAGGGUGCAAGCGUUAAUCGGAAUUACUGGGCGUAAAGCGCACGCAGGCGGUCUGUCAAGUCGGAUGUGAAAUCCCCGGGCUCAACCCGGGAACUGCAUUCGAAACUGGCAGGCUAGAGUCUUGUAGAGGGGGUAGAAUUCCAGGUGUAGCGGUGAAAUGCGUAGAGAUCUGGAGGAAUACCGGUGGCGAAGGCGGCCCCCUGGACAAAGACUGACGCUCAGGUGCGAAAGCGUGGGGAGCAAACAGGAUUAGAUACCCUGGUAGUCCACGCUGUAAACGAUGUCGAUUUGGAGGUUGUGCCCUUGAGGCGUGGCUUCCGGAGCUAACGCGUUAAAUCGACCGCCUGGGGAGUACGGCCGCAAGGUUAAAACUCAAAUGAAUUGACGGGGGCCCGCACAAGCGGUGGAGCAUGUGGUUUAAUUCGAUGCAACGCGAAGAACCUUACCUGGUCUUGACAUCCACAGAACUUAGCAGAGAUGCUUUGGUGCCUUCGGGAACUGUGAGACAGGUGCUGCAUGGCUGUCGUCAGCUCGUGUUGUGAAAUGUUGGGUUAAGUCCCGCAACGAGCGCAACCCUUAUCCUUUGUUGCCAGCGGUUAGGCCGGGAACUCAAAGGAGACUGCCAGUGAUAAACUGGAGGAAGGUGGGGAUGACGUCAAGUCAUCAUGGCCCUUACGACCAGGGCUACACACGUGCUACAAUGGCAUAUACAAAGAGAAGCGACCUCGCGAGAGCAAGCGGACCUCAUAAAGUAUGUCGUAGUCCGGAUUGGAGUCUGCAACUCGACUCCAUGAAGUCGGAAUCGCUAGUAAUCGUAGAUCAGAAUGCUACGGUGAAUACGUUCCCGGGCCUUGUACACACCGCCCGUCACACCAUGGGAGUGGGUUGCAAAAGAAGUAGGUAGCUUAACCUUCGGGAGGGCGCUUACCACUUUGUGAUUCAUGACUGGGGUGAAGUCGUAACAAGGUAACCGUAGGGGAACCUGCGGUUGGAUCACCUCCUUA